CCUACGGGAGGCAGCAGUGGGGAAUUUUCCGCAAUGGGCGAAAGCCUGACGGAGCAACGCCGCGUGAGGGAUGAAGGCCUCUGGGCUGUAAACCUCUUUUAUCAAGGAAGAAGAUCUGACGGUACUUGAUGAAUAAGCCACGGCUAAUUCCGUGCCAGCAGCCGCGGUAAUACGGGAGUGGCAAGCGUUAUCCGGAAUUAUUGGGCGUAAAGCGUCCGCAGGCGGUCUGUCAAGUCUGCUGUUAAAGCGUGGAGCUUAACUCCAUUUAGGCAGUGGAAACUGACAGACUAGAGUGUGGUAGGGGCAGAGGGAAUUCCCGGUGUAGCGGUGAAAUGCGUAGAUAUCGGGAAGAACACCAGUGGCGAAGGCGCUCUGCUGGGCCAUAACUGACGCUCAUGGACGAAAGCCAGGGGAGCGAAAGGGAUUAGAUACCCCUGUAGUCCUGGCCGUAAACGAUGAACACUAGGUGUCGGGGGAAUCGACCCCCUCGGUGUCGUAGCCAACGCGUUAAGUGUUCCGCCUGGGGAGUACGCACGCAAGUGUGAAACUCAAAGGAAUUGACGG
RNAcentral lists this ribosomal RNA (564 nucleotides) under uncultured cyanobacterium. RNAcentral describes it as "bacterial SSU rRNA". It matches the Rfam family "Bacterial small subunit ribosomal RNA", at positions 338 to 916 of the family's 1533-position model. The record is from RNAcentral. Lineage: Bacteria; Bacillati; Cyanobacteriota.